AGUGAACGCUGGCGGUAGGCCUAACACAUGCAAGUCGAACGGCAGCACAGGAGAGCUUGCUCUCUGGGUGGCGAGUGGCGGACGGGUGAGGAAUGCAUCGGAAUCUACUCUUUCGUGGGGGAUAACGUAGGGAAACUUACGCUAAUACCGCAUACGACCUACGGGUGAAAGCCGGGGACCUUCGGGCCUGGCGCGAAAGAAUGAGCCGAUGCCCGAUUAGCUAGUUGGCGGGGUAAGAGCCCACCAAGGCGACGAUCGGUAGCUGGUCUGAGAGGAUGAUCAGCCACACUGGAACUGAGACACGGUCCAGACUCCUACGGGAGGCAGCAGUGGGGAAUAUUGGACAAUGGGCGCAAGCCUGAUCCAGCCAUACCGCGUGGGUGAAGAAGGCCUUCGGGUUGUAAAGCCCUUUUGUUGGGAAAGAAAAGCAGUCGGUUAAUACCCGAUUGUUCUGACGGUACCCAAAGAAUAAGCACCGUAAUU
This 483-nucleotide ribosomal RNA is filed under the name Xanthomonas sp. oral taxon 037. RNAcentral's name for it is "bacterial SSU rRNA". It matches the Rfam family "Bacterial small subunit ribosomal RNA", at positions 29 to 502 of the family's 1533-position model. The record is from RNAcentral. Lineage: Bacteria; Pseudomonadati; Pseudomonadota; Gammaproteobacteria; Lysobacterales; Lysobacteraceae.